CUGGGGGCUGCAGGCACAUCUCCAAGCGCACAUGAACAGCAACCGCAAGCACAGAGCAAGCAUCACUGAGGGAGCAGGGCCACCAAUUUGGGAUUUCCUGCGUGGGAAAGGAGGCUGCCAGGGCCGGUGCAGCAGAGUCAGGGUCCCGGCACGCCACCGGGGAGCGAACACCAGCCUGGCCUCAGCUGGGCUUGGUCUCAUGUCUUUGCGUUUAUAGACUGGUGCUUCGGGACGGUGAGCGGAUCUCAGUUGUGAAGCAAGGCACCAACUGCAUGGGCAUUUUGAUUCAGACUUGCAACGUGCAGCUUGGACCCUUGUGUUAGCUACUUCCAGCAUCUUGCAAAAAAAAAGUGGAGAAUUUACACAGUGCGUUUGCAUUUGAUUUUUGCUAAGUACCUGUGGCG
This is a non-coding RNA of Struthio camelus australis, 404 nucleotides long. NCBI's taxonomy places the organism in Eukaryota, Metazoa, Chordata, Aves, Struthioniformes, Struthionidae. The record is from RefSeq and is a predicted model, not a curated record.